Molecule: ribosomal RNA, 253 nt
Filed under: uncultured bacterium
Lineage: Bacteria
Description: partial 16S ribosomal RNA
Rfam family: Bacterial small subunit ribosomal RNA
Source: RNAcentral
UACGUAUGGUGCAAGCAUUAUCCGGAUUUACUGGGCGUAAAGGGAGCGCAGGCGGCGCGCCAAGUCUGAUGUGAAACCCCGGGGCUCAACCCCGGGCAUGCAUUGGAAACUGGCGGGCUGGAGUGCCGGAGAGGUAAGCGGAAUUCCUAGUGUAGCGGUGAAAUGCGUAGAUAUUAGGAGGAACACCAGUGGCGAAGGCGGUUUACUGGACGGCAACUGACGCUGAGGCUCGAAAGCGUGGGGAGCAAACAGG